Molecule: non-coding RNA, 210 nt
Organism: Vicia faba (fava bean)
Lineage: Eukaryota; Viridiplantae; Streptophyta; Magnoliopsida; Fabales; Fabaceae
Source: the annotation of a GenBank genome assembly
AUGCUGCUGAAAGUCAGUAGCCCAUUGGUUACUCUCGUCAAUCAUUACAUGGUGUACAACAGCGUUCUUAUGCCCCUCAUAUUGGAAGAUUAUUUUCUGGGCAUCCUGCCUAUGCCUUGGUUACCUUUGGGUUGUUGGAAAACUCAAGAUAAUGAAAGCUUCUGUUCUUUUGAGCGCAACAUGUGGAGCAAUCUGUCCCAGGUCCAUUAG